Molecule: ribosomal RNA, 403 nt
Filed under: uncultured bacterium
Lineage: Bacteria
Description: partial 16S ribosomal RNA
Rfam family: Bacterial small subunit ribosomal RNA
Source: RNAcentral
AUUGAACGCUGGCGGCAGGCCUAACACAUGCAAGUCGAGCGAGAGGCGGACGGGGGAGUAAAGUAUGGGGAAUGCGCGAUAGAGGGGGAUAACUACUGGAGACGGUAGCUAAUACCGCAUACGAUCGGAUAACCCAUAUGGGAUUAGAUAGUGGGUGGGGUAAUGGCUCACCUAGGCGACGAUCCCUAGCUGGUCGGAGAGGAUGAGCAGCCACACUGGGACUGAGACACGGCCCAGACUCCUACGGAGGCAGCAGUGGGGAAUAUUGCACAAUGGGCGCAAGCCUGAUGCAGCCAUGCCGCGUGUAUGAAGAAGGCCCUAGGGUUGUAAAGUACUUUCAGCCGGGAGGCGUUACCGGCAGAAGAAGCACCGGCUAACUCCGUGCCAGCAGCCGCGGUAAUUC